This 467-nucleotide ribosomal RNA is filed under the name uncultured bacterium. RNAcentral's name for it is "partial 16S ribosomal RNA". It matches the Rfam family "Bacterial small subunit ribosomal RNA", at positions 28 to 507 of the family's 1533-position model. The record is from RNAcentral.
GACGAACGCUGGCGGCGUGCUUAACACAUGCAAGUCGAACGGAAAGGCCUCUUUCGGGGGGUACUCGAGUGGCGAACGGGUGAGUAACACGUGAGUAACCUGCCCUUGACUUUGGGAUAACUUCAGGAAACUGGGGCUAAUACCGGAUAGGAGCUCCUGCUGCAUGGUGGGGGUUGGAAAGUUUCGGCGGUUGGGGAUGGACUCGCGGCUUAUCAGCUUGUUGGUGGGGUAGUGGCUUACCAAGGCUUUGACGGGUAGCCGGCCUGAGAGGGUGACCGGCCACAUUGGGACUGAGAAACGGCCCAGACGCCGACGGGAGGCAGCAGUGGGGAAUAUUGCACAAUGGGUGGAAGCCUGAUGCAGCAACGCCGUGUGCGGGAUGACGGCCUUCGGGUUGUAAACCGCUUUCGCUCAUGACGAAGCUUUGUGUGACGGUAGUGGGUAAAGAAGCACCGGCUAACUACGUG